RNAcentral lists this long non-coding RNA (504 nucleotides) under Elaeis guineensis (African oil palm). Its description in RNAcentral is "long non-coding RNA (EGUI_LNC000958)". Lineage: Eukaryota; Viridiplantae; Streptophyta; Magnoliopsida; Arecales; Arecaceae. The record is from RNAcentral.
AGCUACUGUCGCUCCGGAUCAGACAAUUGCGACCCGAUUCAGAUCACCUGUUCAGGAUUCUUUGCCAUCGGGAUGAAAAUUAGCUGUUUAGCCGGUUCACCCCGUUCCUCCUCUUUUCGUUGGUCCAACUUGUCGACCGGCAGAGAAUCCUUCGAUUUAUUAUUUUGAGUUGAGAUUUGGAAGCAUCGCCGAGCGAGCCGUUGAUUCCCGCGCAUUUCUCCAGCUUCAUUUUUAGUCGGAAAUCGGACCAGCAAGAGAUAUGUCGAGACUAUCACUCUGAGAGCGUUUAGUCCGGAUCUUCCAAGUAUGACGUUGUAGGCCGAAGGUACUCAAACGAUCGUGAAGGUCAAGUAGAUGGUGCUUUGUCGUGGUUCGGCCCCAGCUGUCACAGGAAAAGCAAUUUCUCCUUCCACUGCGACGGCAUCCCCGAUGAAACCUACUAGGGGCGUAGAGACUCUCCUGAGUCGGUCGGUCGACAGUCGCAUUCGGGAGAAGAUCGAGUAA